AAGAGGCCAUUUGGCCGUGACCUAGAGAGAAGAUAGAGAGAGAGAGAGAGAGAGUGGCGUGCUAGAGAGAAGGGGCUGCCAUUUCUAGAGAGAAGGAGGAGAAGAAAGAAAGGAAGAAGAAGAAGAAGAAGAAGGGUUCAAGCAAGGGGUUUGAGCAAGGAGGUGCUUCUAGAUUGGAUUCUUGAUUUCUAUCAAGAGAGGUAGCAAAUAGGUUUCUCCAUGGCACGCGCGGUGAUGUGGGAAGUUCUAUCAUCCUGGUGUGUAUGGCGUGGGGCAUCCUAUGGAUGAAAAACGAUCACUUAAAGACGCCAUUUUAAUAAUGUUAUGUUUUAUGAGACUUUUUAAACUUAUCAGUGGGACUUAAAUUAUUGGUUGUUUUUUUUUUGGAACUUUGCAUAAAAACUCAUAUUUUCUUUUAAAACUAUUGGGCCCAACUUGCAUGUUUUAAGUAAGAACCCACUGAAACCUUUAUAAUAAGUGGCUUUCCUUUAAAAACCAACGAAAUGUAAAUGUUUCAUUAAGUACUAGUUUAGGGCGUUCUUUACAGGCGGCACUUUAUUUGUUGGGUAGUUUUAUCGUGGAAAAGUAAAUAUUUAUUUAUGUGUUUUAAUUGUUGCAUUCAUGCAUCAUAUUUACUUUCUGAAUAAUUGAUAUUUUUUCAAAUACUAAUUUUAUUGUAUUUUAUUUAUUUUCAGUAUUAAAAUUUUGCCACCAAAUUAUUUUCCCAUUAUGUGCCUAGUGAUGAAUCAAAUGAUUGAUGAUCAUAAAGUAAAGUGAAACUAACUGAAGAAGAUGAAGGAGGAUGGAUAAAUUCAACUUUGUUUGUUUUUUUGGCUAAAAAGCUUAAACAUAUUUAUAAUGAAAAACAGUUUCCUCCUGUACCAUCAUUAGAUGUAAGGAAAAAGGAACAUGAGAAAUAUGCUGAUUGGAUGAGAUCAAAUCACAUGGCGAGAUUUUACAUUCUUAGUACCAUGGAAGAAAAGCUAAGGAAAAAGUUCGAACACAUUGAAUGUGCUUGUGAUAUGUGGGAUGCCCUCUAUGAGGAUAUACAGACAAGACUGCAAUCGCGAAAAAUACACUUGAGCAAUCAAGAGGAACUUACUGAUGGAGACAAAAAGGGAAAAAGGAAGAGAGAGAAAGCGUCUAGUUCAAGAAUUCGUUAAAGAAAGUCCUUUU
Molecule: long non-coding RNA, 1176 nt
Organism: Humulus lupulus (European hop)
Lineage: Eukaryota; Viridiplantae; Streptophyta; Magnoliopsida; Rosales; Cannabaceae
Exons: 4
Source: RefSeq, a predicted model, not a curated record